RNAcentral lists this transfer RNA (84 nucleotides) under Sphaerotilus microaerophilus. RNAcentral describes it as "Sphaerotilus sp. FB-5 tRNA-Glu". The record is from RNAcentral. Lineage: Bacteria; Pseudomonadati; Pseudomonadota; Betaproteobacteria; Burkholderiales; Sphaerotilaceae.
UGAUGGCCAGGCGGCCGGCGGCGCCGGGCUUGUUCUCGACGAGCACGGUGCCGAGCGCGGGGCUCAUCGCCUCGGCCAUCAGCC